This 497-nucleotide ribosomal RNA is filed under the name uncultured bacterium. RNAcentral describes it as "partial 16S ribosomal RNA". It matches the Rfam family "Bacterial small subunit ribosomal RNA", at positions 28 to 507 of the family's 1533-position model. The record is from RNAcentral.
GAUGAACGCUGGCGGCGUGCCUAAUACAUGCAAGUCGAGCGAACAGACGAGGAGCUUGCUCCUCUGACGUUAGCGGCGGACGGGUGAGUAACACGUGGAUAACCUACCUAUAAGACUGGGAUAACUUCGGGAAACCGGAGCUAAUACCGGAUAACAUGUUGAACCGCAUGGUUCAACAGUGAAAGACGGUCCUGCUGUCACUUAUAGAUGGAUCCGCGCCGCAUUAGCUAGUUGGUAAGGUAACGGCUUACCAAGGCAACGAUGCGUAGCCGACCUGAGAGGGUGAUCGGCCACACUGGAACUGAGGCACGGUCCAGACUCCUACGGGAGGCAGCAGUAGGGAAUCUUCCGCAAUGGGCGAAAGCCUGACGGAGCAACGCCGCGUGAGUGAAGAAGGUCUUCGGAUCGUAAAACUCUGUUAUUAGGGAAGAACAAAUGUGUAAGUAACUAUGCACGUCUUGACGGUACCUAAUCAGAAAGCCACGGCUAACUACGUG